This 44023-nucleotide long non-coding RNA is filed under the name Sorghum bicolor (sorghum). RNAcentral's name for it is "long non-coding RNA (SBIC_LNC003198)". The stretch from base 6258 to 6364 matches the Rfam family "Plant small nucleolar RNA R71". Lineage: Eukaryota; Viridiplantae; Streptophyta; Magnoliopsida; Poales; Poaceae. The record is from RNAcentral.
GUGGGAAGAGUACUUGAUCUAAAGUCUAAGUCGUUAAUGGAUAUGAUAUGGGAAGGUUGAGCUACUGUUUAUCUGUUCCUAGAGAUGCUAGAAUUCUGGAGAAUUUUAUCUUUGAAAAUCUUUAAAAUAUUGCAUGAUGAGUUCCUGUAUGAUGAGAGUUUAAAAUCCUAUCACAGCCACAUAUACAUGCUUAUUAGACUAUGAACCAUACAUUUUACUGCUUAUGAGCAUUGAGUGUGGUCAAGCUGUGUAGACCCUUAGGAGCUCGUCAUGCGGUUAAAAUCAAGAUUCACUUGCACGUUCACUCAUACAUGCUGCUUCUACUCCGGAAGUAUGCAUCCACAUACAUCUACUCAUUUCCCUCUCUAGAUUCACCCAAAAUUAUUCUACUCCUAUCCGGAGAGAAUAACCAAAAACAUUAUUGUUGGGUAUUCUUAACAUCACUACCAAAAGUAGACUUAGUUUUCUAAUUCUGAUAACGGUGCCAAAAAUGCCAGACCUAUCCCUCAUACCACUUAAGCCAAGUUGUCAUCCCCAGCAUGACAUGAAAGACGCAGUAUUGAAAUAUGCAAUUGCUCUUCUAAAUAAAUAAUGAAUGAGAUCUGCAAGCGCACAGAUUAAUACCGAUGUAGCAUUUUAACCGGAAAGUAUUCCAGGUAUCGUUAUUUAUAUUUUUACCACUGGGAAGGGAUUAGCAAUCAUCAAUAUUGAUUACAGAAUAUAAUAUGAGAUUGAGUAUCUAUCAUUGCAUGUAUAAUUGAGAACAUUUAUCCAACUCUUUCAUACAGGAAUAAGUGUCACAUAAAAGAUAUAUGAAGUAAUGAAUAGUGACAAAGAUAAUUAAUCUUAUCAGCAUAACUUAGCCAAAUAAUAAAUUUGAUAAGCACCUCAAUUAGAUAUUCUAGAAAGUCAUUAGCAUGGAAUUAGAACGAACUACAAGAAUAUUUCCUAAGUUAUUCUUAACUAUAUAGUCUAGCAUUAUCAUAAUUAGUGCAAGCAUACUUAGCAAUCAUUGCGAGACAAGACUACGCCCAUGCAUAGUGAUAUUAGCAAGGUAAAUGAGAAACAUAGCAAUCACUCCCUUGUAAUAAUGUUGCUCUGCCAGCCCAAUACACGAGAGGGGGACUAUAUAAGAAUCAAUGAAGCUGUCACUAUCACGAACUACCCCACGAUCUGGCAUAUUGUGUAGAACCGCAGAUAAAUAUGGUAUAAGCACCACGCCUACACCACGAUCUAUCAUUUACCCCUGGAUCCAAUGGAUAAACGCUAUACGAUCCUAAACAUGUAUAUAGAUCCAAUCUAACUAAGCCAAGUAUAUAACCAUAAUAAACUAAGAACAAUAUAAUCUUGAAUAUAAGCAAGUAGAGCAAAGUCAUAAGCAAUAUAUUGAAGUAGAACAAAGUCAUAUUCAUAAUAUUGAAGAACAAAGAUGAUUAGAAGAACAAUUAGAAAAACAAUUAGAGCAUUACCAAAAAUCCUCUUGAUAGAUCCAGAAAUCAAUCGAAGAUUGACUUCUUCUAGUUCUAAUCCUAUGUAGCUAUGCUAAUCUAGAUGUCUAAUUGAUGUGGUGGCUCUAAUCUUGAUCAGAGGCUUCUUCUCCCUUAAGAAUAAUGAAUUAGGGUUGAGAGGCUCUCUCCUCCAGGGGCCAGGGGGUCUGGUUUUAUAGUCCCUUCAAGUGAAUAUAGGUCGUUGGAUCAAACCGACAUUGAUUGAACGGUUAUCCUUGAUCCUUUAGGUCGGUGGAGAUUGAUCCCGAAAGAGACUCCUGUUAGGACUCCAGGAGGGGGCGGGCGCCCAGUGCCUGGCUCCGUUCGGCCUCCGCUUCCUUCCCGUGGCUUCUGGAGUCUUCUAGAUGUAAGAUAAUUACGCGGCACGUUGAUAUCUCUAUGUAAUCCCGACGUGUGGGCCUUUCUUUCGUAUUUCCUGAUAACCCCCUACAGAAAUAGACAAACACCAAAACUCGUAGAAUUUUGUCAGAUAAAACCCUAAGUCUAGAUAUUGAUUUCAUUUGGAUCCUUUUCUUUGUUUAUUUGAUAAUUAAAUUUGAUAGUUAAGGACCGUCAACAAACUCCCCCAAGCUUACCUCUUGCUCGUCCCUAAGCAAGGAUAGUCUCACUGAUGGAUCAGAAAUUGUUGCAAUAUCUUUAAAAAUUGACGGUACACAUGAUUUUAAAUAAGAUCUCAUCUCUGAGUUAGAGUGAACUGUCAAGACUUAAAACUUACUUACUUUACCUUUCACCAUGGGACUUGUAACCGUCACUUCUGUCUUGAGUAGUUAAAAGAUAGAACAGUCUAGUCAAGUGCCAUGUCUCUUAUUCUUGAUCAGCUAUAGCUCUGGAGUUUCUGCAGAUUUUCAAAUAAAACUCAGAGAUUCCUUGUAUGAUUCUCUCAGAUCUCUCUUUUGUGGUAUUUCUGGAUCCUUACCAAGGCAGUGAUGGUAUAUGCCUUCUCUCAAAAUAUGUAGUAUUUGUGGUAUAAGGCAUAGUGAUAUUGCCUUCUCUCUCACCCUACUCUAAUAAGGCUUCUAAUAUCUGGAGCUCAUAGGUGGGCGAUAAAAUAUACAUACUCACAAGACAUUUAUUGUAUAGUCAAACCAUGGAUCCAAAGAAACAAAUCAAUAAGUCAAAUUAAGAUGUGCAUGUGUGGCGAAUGAAUGGUGUAUGGUGAUGAUGAUAAUAACAAUGUUGGAAGUCUAAUUCUACUUUUGCUCUUUGAGAAGAUAUAUACCUUUCUUGCUUUUUGAAACUUUGUGAGGAGAAUGAGAUGCUCUUCUUUUUCUUUUCUGUGAGGUGGGUAUCUUGUACCCCUAAUUCUACUGUCGGACACUUGUCCUUUUUUACCUCUCGUCUCACUCUUUCUUUUCUUUCGAGGUUCCGGACACUUGCCCCUUUUUAUUUCCUCGUACCUUUUUUCUCUUUUUUUUAGAGCACUCAUCUCAUGAAAUAAUAUAGCAAGUGGUAGUAACCAAGAUAACUUGAGCAUUUAUUUCACAGGGGAAAAACAGAAAUAUUUUUGGCUAUUCUCUCCCGGAUUAGGAGUAAAAUAUUUUUGGGUGGUUCUGGAGAUGGAAAUGAGUGGAUAUAUGUGGAUGAUACUUCCGGAAUAGAAGCAACAUGUGUGAGUGAACGUGCAAGUGAAUCUUGAUUUAACCACAUGGAAAGCUCCUAAGGGUCUACACAGCUUGACCACACUCAAUGCUCAUAAGCUGUAAAAAGUAAAUGUGUGGCUCAAAGUCUAGCAAACAUGUAUAUAUGGCUUGUGGUAGGAAUUUAAACUCUCAUCAUACAGGAACUCAUCAUGCAAUAUUUUAAAGAUUUUAAUAGAUAAAUUCUCCAGAAUUCUAGCAUCUCUAGGAACAGAUAAAUAAUAGCUCAACCUUCCCAUAUCGUAUCCGUUAACAACUUAGACUUCAGAUCAAGUUUUCUUCCCACAAGUUUAGGUUUAGAGCAAGCUUUAAAUUAUAACAGUUAUGUCUAAACUAGAGAGAAAACUCAAAUUUGAAAAUUAGCCAGAGCAACUAUUCAUCAUAUCCAUGCUAGAGUUUUAUUAUUAAGAUUUAGAUUAGCAUAGCCACUUUAUUUAUUUAUUAAACACACUAAGCAAAAGAUAUAUAUAUAUAUAUAUAUAUAUAUAAGCAUAAAAUCUUUAUUUGGUUUUCCAUGUUUAUGUAUAUUUAUAUUUUAAUAUAGUAUAAGAUAGAUAGAAAUACUUAGCGGGAUAAAUGGGGGUGCUCUCCCCCAAGCUGAAUUUUGACGUAAUUUCCCUUGAUGUAGCUAGCAGGUAGCAGAGGUGUAUUUGAAAGUCGGCAGUAUCUUGACAGCGAUUAGAAUGUCCUCCGUCUGCUAGUCUUCUUGAAUUCUGUGGAGCUGAAAUUGACAACAAAGCUUUGUGGAACUGAUUAGGUGUUAGCAUAAAUAUCUAGCCUUUAUCAUGUUGAGGCACCUCAAUAAAUAUUACUCCCUAUUUUUAUAUUUUCAUUUUAUAAAGUAGAAAAGAAAUAUUUAUUUUAUUUUUAUGCCACCACAGUGAAUGUACUAAUGGGUUUCAUGCCACUCGUAUACUCACAUGGGGCUUACUGUUUUUUAACCUUUUUAUUUUCUUUUUAAGAUAGUAUGAACUUGAUUAACUAGGUAAACUAUUUAAAAUAAUUGAAAGGGAAAGGAUAACUACCAAGUUUACCUCUUGGCAAGGCGUUCGGUGUUUUUUAAGUCCUCCGAACGGGACUAUCCGUUUUCUCAAUUGUCUUGAGAUUCGUUGGGUGGCAUAGUCGGUACUUCCGGCGGCGCCUCUUCUUCAUGUAUGGUUAUCUUCUCUUUCCACACCUAACUCGGUGCUACGGUCUCCUUAGGAUAGUUCUGUUUAAAUUGUAUGUCUUCUGACCUUACCACUUCUCCUUCAUAGUCUGCCCAUCCGUCCUUGAUGAUUUGCCUCCUCUGGUUACGGUUGCGUCGUUUUCUGACCUGCUUAGAGUCUUCAACGAUAUAGUUAGGGUCAGUCAAAUAGCGGCGUACCUUCUCUGAGGGGAAGUGCAUAUGGACUUCUCCAGUUCCAAUGUAGAUAAUUGCUUUAACGGUGCUGAGGAGCGGUCUUCCAAAGAUGAUGGGUGGAUCGUAUUCGUCUUCUCCCAUGUCAAUAAUCUGAAAGUCUAUGUAGACAAAAUGAUCGUCUAUAUUGACAGGGACAUCAAUUACUGUUCCUUUAACUUCUCGAAAUGUCUGAUCUGCCAUCUGGAGUUGAAUGUAUGUUGGUUUUAGAGGCAUGGUUCCGAACAAGAGCCGAUAGGUGACUGCAGCAAUUAUGUUGACGCCCGAUCCGGUGUCGCAAACGUCUUGUAGAAGUUGUAUCCAUUUAUGGAGCAAUAGAUGCUUGGCAUUCCUGGGUCGUCCUUCUUGGUCAGAAACGGUGACUUAAGUUGAUGAUCUUGACCUCCAUGAACUACAGUGACCAUCUUAGCUGACUCGGUCCACACAUGCUUGUUCCUGUUCCUCCUGUUGGUCCUCUUCCUUGGUUCAUGUCUGGAUUGAUCUGGGAUUUGUGUAGUCUUGUUCUUGAAGGAAAACGUCUCCUUCCUCCCUUUGAUGUAGAAACUGAUCUUGGCAGCACUAGCGUAGAUGACAGCUCCCGAGGUGUUUAAGAAUGGCCUCCCUAAGAUGAUGGGUGCCCUCUCAUCAUUACCGGUCUCUAUCACCACGAAGUCUGCUGGGGCGUAUAAGGUACCAACUCGGAUACAAAGGUUCCUCAAUAUUCCUUUUGGGAAACUUAAUGCCUGAUCUGCAAACUGCAAACACAUGGUUGUUUCUAAUAAAGGAUAUGUAAAGAAUUUUUCAUAUAGUACCCUGGGUAUAAUGUUGACACUAGAGCCAAAGUCGCAGAGUGCUUCUAGGACGUCCACCAUGCCGAUGGAGAUCGGGAUGACGGGGCGUCCUGGAUCUCCUCUCUUGACCGGCAGAAGGUUAGUAGUAACUUCAGUGACGGGGUUACUCCAAUUACCUGCAUCAAACAUGUCUACAAGAUUUGCAGAUUCUAAUCCUUCCGGUUGUGAUGGUAUACCGAGGUUAGUAGUAGGAACAGCAGCAGCUAUUUGAUUUAACUGAGAUUCAAUCAUUUUAUUAAAGCUGAUUUGAUUCUUGAUGGCAGUAGAGAAAUUAUCUAUUCUAUUAUUUAUAUUUUCUAGCAUUUUAUCAUUAGAUGCCAAUUUCAUAGAUAGGUUAUCCAUUAGCUUUCCUUGAUUAGACACUAACUCUCUCAAAGGUGGAAAAUUAUUAUUAUUGUUGUAAGAAUUGUUACCUUGAUAAUUACCUGAGUAGUUAGGCCUCUAUUGAUUCCAACCUUGAUUUUGUUGAGGACGGUUAUAGUAGUUGUUGUUAUUGUUGUUGAUGUAGUUCACAUCCUCAAGCAUCUCAGGACAGUGAUUGCCUGAGUGUCCAGUAUCUCCACACUCCUCACAAGUCAUGUGAGAGUCGUAGAUGUGCAUAACUUCUUUCUUAUCUCCAGCUCUAUCAUCGAGCUUCUUCAUGAGCAGGUCUAGCUUUGCAGACAGCAUGUCUACCUCCUUGAGCUGAUGCAUACCUCCACCUCUCUUGCGUGUCUGGAUCCUCUCUUCAGUCUAGUCUUGGUUGGACGCCAUCUUCUCCGCAAGAGCUGUGGCUUGUGGUACGGUGAGUGAUAGGAAUGCUCCUCCAGCUGCAGCAUCCAUGGUCUCUCGGGCACUGUUGCCGAGCACAUGAUAAAACGUCUGCAUCAGUAUUCAACUCUCCAUUCCAUGAUGGGGACAUUCUAGGAUGUAGUCUUGGAAGCGCUCCCAUGCUUCUGGAAUGGAUUCAUCAUGUUGUUGCUGAAAACUUGUAAUCUUCCCACGGAGAGCAUUGGUCUUGCCCAUGGGAAAGAACUUAGCCAGGAAGUUUGUUGAGCAGAGUGCCCACGUAGUAUUCUUCUCCUUUGUAGCGUAGAACCACUGCUUCGCUCUUCCUAAUAGUGAGAAUGGGAAGAGGCGAAGUAGUAUAGCAUCUCUGGGACUCCUGAUAUGGUGAAUGUGCUGCAUAUCUCCAGGAAGUGUUGGAGAUGAGCACUAGCAUCUUCGUGUGCCUUCCCACAGAACUGGUUGGAUUGCACCAUGUUGAUAAGUCCAGGCUUGAGCUCAAAGUUGCCAUCAAUCUCUGCAGCAGGUCCAGUGCGGAUGUUGUCCGUAGUGGGAGCUGAGAACUCGCGGAUCGAUUUGUUCGCCAUGGCUUCGAACUCUGAAGACAAGUUCCGGUGAUCUUCUUGAUUGGAUGAAGCUUCUUGCUGAAGUGUUGAUGAUCUCUUCUUGAGCUUGGUUCUUGUUUUUCUGAAUAACGCUUUGGGAUUGUCAACAAAAUUUCCUGGAAGAUGUCUUCUAUUUAUACAUUACCCUGCAUAAGAUAAAAAUUGAAAAAUAUCGGGGUAAAACUAUAUGAGAGAAUUGAUAAGGUCUAUCACAUUAGUGAUGCGAAUGAUAACUCAAAAUCCUAUAUUCAUUCCUGAUUAGUAAUCAACCUUCCCCGGCAACGGCGCCAAAAAUGCUUGUUGGGUACUCUUAACAUCACUACCGAAAGUAGACUUAGUUUUCUAAUUCUAAUAACGGUGCGAAAAAUGCCAAACCUAUCCCUCAUACCACUUAAUCCAAAUUUUCAUCCCCAGCAUGACUUGAAAGACGUGGUAUUGAAAUAUGCAAUAGCUCUUCUAAAUAAAUAAUGAAUGGGAUCUGCAAGCGCACAUAUUAAUACCGAUGUAGCAUUUUAACCGGGAAGUAUUCCAGGUAUCGUUAUUUAUAUUUUUACCACUGGGAAGGGAUUAGCAAUCAUCAAUAUUGAUUACAGAAUAUAAUAUGAGAUUGAGUAUCUAUCAUUGCAUGUAUAAUUGAGAACAUUUAUCCAAUUCUUUCAUACAGGGAUAAGUGUCACAUAAAAGAUAUAUGAAGUAAUGAAUAGUGACAAAGAUAAUUAAUCUGAUCAGCAUAACUUAGCCACAUAAUAAAUAUGAUAAGCACCUCAAUUAGAACGAACUACAAGAAUAUUUCCUAAGUUAUUCUUAACUAUAUAGUCUAGCAUUAUCAUAAUUAGUGCAUGCAUAGUGAUAUUAGCAAGGUAAAUGAGAAACAUAGCAAUCACUCCCCUGUAAUAAUGUUGCUCUGCCAGCCCAAUACACGAGAGGGGGACUAUAUAAGAAUCAAUGAAGCUGUCACUAUCACGAACUACCCCACGAUCUGACAUAUUGGGUACAAUCGCAGAUAAAUAUGGUAUAAGCACCAUGCCUACACAAUAUAUAUCAUUUACCCAUGGAUCCGAUGGAUAAACGCUAUACGAUCCUAAACAUGUAUAUAUAUCCAAUCUAACUAAGCCAAGUAUAUAACCAUGAUAAACUAAGAACAAUAUAAUCUUGAAUAUAAGCAAGUAGAGCAAAGUCAUAAGCAAUAUAUUGAAGUAGAACAAAGUCAUAUUCAUAAUAUUAAAGAACAAAGAUGAUUAGAAGAACAAUUAGAGCAUUACCAAGAAUCCUCUUAACAGAUCCGGAAACCAAUCGAAGAUUGACUUCCUCUAGUUCUAAUCCUAUGUAGAUAUGCUAAUCUAGAUGUCUAAUUGAUGUGGUGGCUCUAAUCUUGAUCAGAGGCUUCUUCUCCCUUGAGAAUAAUGAAUUAGGGUUGAGAGGCUCUCUCCUCCAGGGGUCAGGGGGUCUGGUUUUAUAGUCCCUUCAAGUGAAUAUAGGUCGUUGGAUCAAACCGACAUUGAUUGAACGGUUAUCCUUGAUCUUUUAGGUUGGUGGAGAUUGAUCCCGAAAGAGACUCCUGUUAGGACUCUAGGAGGGGGCGGGCGCCCAGUGCCUGGCUCCGUUCGGCCUCCGCUUCCUUCCCGUGGCUUCUGGAGUCUUCUAGAUGUAAGAUAAUUGUGCGGCACAUUGAUAUCUCUAUGUAAUCCCGACGUGUGGACCUUUCUUCCGUAUUUCCUGAUAACCCCCUACAGAAAUAGACAAACACCAAAACUCGUGGAAUUCUGUCAGAUAAAACCCUAAGUCUGGAUAUUGAUUUCAUUUCGAUCAUUUUCUUUGUUUAUUUGAUAAUUCAAUUUGAUACUUAAGGACCGUCAACAAUUAUCCCAUUCCUGCUUUUCCCAGUGAAAUAAAUGCUCGAGAUAUUUUGGUUACUACCACUUGCUACAUUAUUCCAGGAGGGUGAGUGCUCUAAAAAAAGAGAGAAGAAAAAAAAGUGAAAAAUACGAGGAAAUAAAAAGGGGCGAGUGCCCGGAACCUCGAUGAAAAGAAAAAGUGAGACGAGAUGUAAAAAUGGACAAGUGUCCGAUAGUAGAACUGAGAGGAAAGAAAAAGAAAAUAUAGAGCAUCUCAUUCUCCUCAAAAAGUUUCAUAAGAGCAAGGAAGGUAUGUAUCCCCUCAAAAGAGCAAAAGUAGAAUUAGACUUUCACCAUUGUUAUCACCAUCAUCACCAUACACCAUUCAUUUGCCACACAUGCACAUCUUGAUUUGACUUAUUGACUUGUUUCUCUAGAUCCAUGGUUUGACUAUGCAAUAAAUGUCUUGUAAGUAUGUAUACUUUAUCUCCCACCUAUGAGCUCCAGAUAUCAAAGCCUUAUUAGAGUAGGAUGAGAGAGAAGGCAAUGUCACUAUGCCUCAUACCACAAAUACUAUAUACCAUCACUACCUUGGUAAGGAUCCAGAAAUACCAAAAAAGAGAGAAUUGAGAGAGUCAUACAAGGAAUCUCUGAGUUUUAUUUGAAAAUCUACAAAAACUCCAAAGCUAUAGUUGAUCAAGAAUAAGAGACAUGGCUCUUGACUAGACCAUUCUAUCUUUUAACUACUAAAGACAUAAGUGACGGUUGCAAGCGCCAUGGUGAAAGGUAAAAUGAGUAAGUUUAAAUCUUAAUAGUUUACCCUAACCCGGAGAUGAGAUCUUGUUUGAACGCAUGUGUACCUUUAAGGCAUGAAACCACUAUAGAAAUUCUUGAGUCCAUCCUUGCUCAGGGACGAGCAAGUGGUAAGCUUGGGGGAGUUGUUGACGGUCCUUAAGUACCAAAUUUAAUUAUCAAAUAAACAAAGAAAAGGAUCCAAAUGCAAUCAACACCCAGACUUAGGGUUUUAUCUGACAGAAUUCCAUGAGUUUUGGUGUUUGUCUAUUUCUGCAGGGGGUUAUCAGGAAAUAUGGACAAAAUGCCCACACGUCGGGUUUACAUAGAGAUAUUAACGUGCCGCGCAAUUUUCUAUCAUCUAGAAGACUCCAGAUGCCACGGGAACGAACGGGAAGCCGAGCGGGCUCAGGGGCAGGGUGCCCGCCCUCCCCCCUUGGGCGCUCGCCCUAGUUUUUCCACCAAUCAGAACCAAAUUCGCGGAUCAUGCUCCACCGACCUAAAGGAUCAAGGAAAACCGUGCGAUUAAUGUCGGUUUGAUCUGACGGCCCACAUUCAUUUGGAAGGACUAUAUAAGCAGACCCCCUGGCCCCUGGAGGAGGCACCCCCUUGAUCCCUAUUCAUUAUUCAUAAAUAGAGCAAAAGCUAGGGUUUCGAGAUGAGAGCUCUCCUCUCUUCUCUAAACUAGAGUAGAUCUAGAUAGUAGCGAGAUGGAGAGCGAGGGAGGAUUGGAGGAGAGGCCGGCCUGUCGGUUCUUCCUCCGCUUGUACUUCGCCAUGAUCAAGCUCUAAUCAAGCUUGCUCAUGGGAUGACUCUGGUAAUCUACUUCUAUUUCAUUAUGCAAUUACUAUCAAUGCAUGUUCUGGUUCACAACUCUUUUGAGUACUUUAAUCUAUAGGACGCUAUAGGUGAGAGUUGUAGUAUAGGUGUAAGCAUGGUGCUUAAACCUAGAUUACUUGUGGAUAUCUCCUGUCUAGCCGGAUUGUGUGGUAGGCCACGUGGGUGAGAGCUACGUUGGUCCACUGUAGUCCACCUCCCGUUAGUAGGACUGGUAGGGUUUCUCGGCCUAUGGAUAAGCAUCCUUUGUGGUGUUCUUAUCACGUCGUUCGUCCUAGACAUAGACAUACCCCUUUGAAGUAGAGAAACCAUAGUUAUCCUCUCUAUUCUCCUACCAUCGCCCAUAUAUUUGAUUGCUCUACUCUCUAUUCCCCUAUUAUUACCCAUUGUAAUCUUAAGAUGUUACCUUAAUUGAACAGUGAUGGUACCAUCUCACCUUGUGGAAGCUUCCCAUUCGUAGUGGCUGUGUAUCUUGUUUAUGUACUUUGUCUCCUUCCAUGGAUCAUCUCUCUAUGAUGAAUGAGCUAUGUCCUUCUUGUGCAAAUUGUUAAACUUCAUGUGUCUCUCUAUUCAUCUCCGAUGUGAGUUUAUCUCAGGACUUCCCAAAUUGAUAUUGAAAGUUUUUCUGCAGGGGUUAGUCCGACAAAAUAUACUAAUGUCUACACAAGCAGUUUUUAGUUCAAUAACCGAACUAGACUCCAUGUCUAAUCAGAUUAAGGAAGGCUGUUUAACCUAUGCACCAUGCUUAAUUUAAAAUCCAAUAGAAGUAUGUGCAGUACUUCCAAACUAACACUUACUAGGAUUAACAAAGGUAGCGUGAUGGCAUUUAUAGAGAUCUACUUAAGUGGAGAUGAAGUAGUGUGAUUAGUAUUUAAUCAAUUAAGCAUAUCUCAAAGGUAGGGACAACCAACAUAGCAACAUGGCAAAUGAUGUUUUCAUGUAAGGUACUCCCCCAAGCUUGAAUUUUGCAAAAUUCAAGUUUGGAUGAAUUUAAUUCAGUUUUGCAUGAUGAUUGGUUGGACAUACCUUGUGCUUGUCGUUCAUCCAAUCUUCUUGCUCUAAUCCUAGAAAGGUUAGUGACAAGAAUACCCGAAGGAGUAUUUUCACAAUUAUCUUUAUAUGGUCAAUACACAAGGCAAUAUGGCAAGGUCAUGUUACGAUCUAAUAAGCGCUUAUUUUAGGACACUAAGCUUGUCCUUGGGAAACCAUCAGUUUAUGUUGGCGAAGUGGUUUCCCCUCCGACGCCAACCUUUGUAUAUCAAGAUUAGCUCAACGAGAUCUACAAUAUUUAUUAUAGACAUAUGCAUCGACAACCACCCUUUUAAAGUUUUUGUAAAUAGAAAGGAAGAGGGGGUUGGAGAUCUCAAAUGUGGUGAUGUUGGAGAGACCAAUAGAUUGGGAAGAUGUUUCAUAUGAGCAUGGAGUAAACGAAGUGGCUAUGAAAUAAAUUCCAUGCUCAUUAAUGUUAUCUUCGUCUCUAAUCUGAAUGUUCAGAGUUUCUCUUGGAUUGGUCCCGUCUAUGUCCUCUUCUAUAGAAGGGGAGUUAAAAACUCAACAUCUGAAAUUGUGUCAAGGUCAGAAUCCAUUAAGGCUUCUUCCUUGUCCAUCCAUUCUACACAUUCUAGCCAUUUAGAACUUGUGAUCAGGAAAGGGGAGGUGUUAGAAUUUUCUAUAUGGCUUAGCUCUCCUUCUAUGACAUUACUUAACAUGUCAUCCUCAUGGCCUUUAUGACUCCUAUGGUAUGAUCGUCUUGAUGGAUUGCUAGGAUCAUCAUGAGAUUGAAAAGGAGAGGGAUGAGAGGGGUCUCUAAGGUCAAGGAUGGACUCUAGAACUUGUGAACAUGGAAGGGGAGCAGAUAGAAUUUUCUAUAUGUCUUAGCUCUCCUUGACUUGAUAUGUCAUCCUCGACUUCUUCAUAACAGGAACCAGGACAUUCUCUAAGAGAACCAUUAUUGCAAGGAUUUGAAUUAUCCCUGCUUGAAGGUCUCUUAUGGAACUAGAAGUCUAAGCCAUCAGCAUCUAAAAGAUUUAAGGUCAGAAUUCCUUCCUCCCUUGGAGAAUUUUGGGGUAUUGAUGGUUUAGGAUCGAUAGCUAAAGUUUGGGAUUGAAGUGGUUGUAAUUUGGCUAUCGAAACUUCCUCUUCUUGUCUAGGAACUGAUUCUUUCCCUUUCUCAGGAAUAUAAAUGCUAGGAGACUUUCCACUCAAUAAAUCAAUCAAAUUCCAAGCUUCACUAGCGGAUAGGUGGUGGAAAGAUCCUCUAGAGGCCGCAUGAAGGGUUUGCUUAUUUUCCCUACGAAGGCCCUUAAAAAGUGAAUUAGAAGAACUUCUCUUGGAAUAGAAAGAUUUGGGCCCGUGAGAGUAAGGUCAAUAAAGCGGUCCCAUGAUUCGCCAAGAGAUUCUUCUUCUAGUUGUCUAAAAGAAAGAAUCUCGAUCCGAAGAUCCGCCUCUUUGGAGAUCGGAAAAUAUUUAGAGAGAAAACUAUUAUAUAGCUCCUUCCAAUCUCCAUGAGCACUUCGUAUGUUGAGUUUAUACCAAUGUCUAGCUUUUCCCGUUAAAGAGAACGGAAAGAGCUUCCAUUUAAGGGUCUCAUCAGACAUGCCUUCAAUGCGAAGGAGGUCACAGGCUCGAUAAAACUCUCUUAGAUGUGUGUAUGGGUUUUCCUCACCUUCUCCUGAGAAAGGUUUUUUUUGAAGAAAUUCUAUGUAUUCCGGGCUUAUCUCAAAACUAGAUGUCAUGAUAGGCUUUGAAGAUUUUGGUGGUUCGAGAUGUGUGCCCGUAGGUCUAUUAAACUGAUAGAUAGACAUGUUUGCGUUCAUGAUAGACCAAAGAUCAAGGAUUAGAUAAGAAGAAAGUAUAGUAGAGAUAAGGCAAAGGAUAAAAGGAAUAUAUAUAUAUAUAUAUUAGAAAAUAAUUAAGCUAGUUCGUAGUCAACUCAGCAACCGUUUCACCGGCAACGGCGCCAAAAAGCUUGUUGACACUUGCUAACACCACUUGAAUACUAGGUUGUCAUCCCCAGUGUUGACGGUCCUUAAGUACCAAAUUUAAUUAUCAAAUAAACAAAGAAAAGGAUCCAAAUGCAACCAACACCCAGACUUAGGGUUUUAUCUCAAAGAAUUCCAUAAGUUUUUGUGUUUGUCUAUUUCUACAGGGGGUUAUCAGGAAAUAUGGAGGAAAGGCCCACACGUCUUUACAUAGAGAUAUUAACGUGCUGCGCAAUUUUCUAUCAUCUAGAAGACUGCAGAAGCCACGGGAACAAACGGGAAGCUGAGCGGGCCCGGGAUGGGGCGCCCGCCCUGCCCCCUUGGGCGCCCGCCGUGGUUGUUUCGGCCAAUCACGUUCUACUUCACGGAUCAUGCUCCACCGACCUAAGGGAUCAAGGAAAACCGUGCGAUUAAGGUUGGUUUAAUCCGACGGCCCAGAUUCACUUUCUUGUAUGGUAGCCCUUCUUCUUCAUCAUUUUGCCAAAUUUGCGGACAAAGAGUGCUAGUGCUUCAUCAUCACUAUCAUCAUUGGAGCACUCCUCAUCACUUGAUUCUUCCUUCUUGGCCUUGCUCUUGGAUGAAGAGCUAGCUUUGAAUGCUAUGCUCUUCUUCUUCUUAUCAUCAUCAUCCUUCUUCAUGACCUCAUCAUCAUCAUUGUCAUUGUAUUGAUCUUCGGUCAUGACAUCUCCAAGUACCUCAUUAGGAGAUACACCCGUUAAUCCACCUCUAAAGAUGAUUGUUCUCAAUGUCUUGAACCUCUUGGGCAAGCACAUCAAGAACUUGUGAAUGAAGACCUCAUCCUUCACUUUCUCACCAAGGCCCUUGAGAUCAUUGAUGAUGACUUGGAGCCUAUAGAACAUCUCUGGGAUUGACUCAUCAUCCUUCAUCUUUUAGUUGGAUAGCUUGUCCUUGAGCAUAUACAACUUUGCACUUUUUACCAUUAUAGUGCCCUCAUAUGUUUCUUCUAGUCUUGUCCACACUUCACUUGCCUUCUCAAGAUCUUUGACUUGUUCAAAUACCUUUGAAUCAAUGCCAUUGUAUAUUGUGUUGAGAGCCAUAGUAUUGCAUUGCUUGUUUGCUCUCUCAUUGUCGGUGGGGUUAGCGGGGUCAAGGAUCACAAAAUCAUUCUCCGUGACUUCCCACACUCUAUCAUUGAUUGAUCCAAGGUACAUCAUCAUUUUUAUUUUCCAAUAGUCAAAGGAACUUGUGCCAUCAAAGAACGGUGGUUUGCCCCCAACAUGGUUGAACACUAUUUGAGCCAUAAUUUGAGCACCGAGGUUGUUAAGCAUUCACAAAACGGUGACCACGGCUCUGAUACCACUUGAAAGGUCCUAAUAUGGCUAGAGGGGGUGAAUAGCCUAUUUAAAAGUUCUACAAAAACACUAGACCAAGAGGUUAGUAAAUAACAAAGCGAAGCUUUUUGCUCUAGCUCUAAUGGGGUGUUUGCAAGCCACCUACCCAAGAAUUCUAGUUGCUAUGAUCACUAUGCACACAAGAACUAAGUCUCUACUUACACUAGAGAGCUACCUAAAGUUUCUAUACAAGAAGUAAGCUACUCUAGUUUGUAAGAAAGUAAGAGAGAGAGUUUGAUCUUUAUACCACCACAUAGAGGGGAUGAACCAAUCACAAUAUUAUGAAGUCCAAUCACCGAGAGAAAUCCAAUCAACAAACACAAUGGAGACACAAGAUUUUUCUCCCGAGGUUCACGUGCUUGCCGGCACGCUACGUCCCCGUUGUGUCGAUCAACACUUGGUGGUUUGGUGGCUAAGAGGUGUAGCACGAACCUCGUCCUCACUAGGACACCACAAGAACCUACCCACAAGUGAGGUAGCUCAAUGACACGAGCAAUCCACUAAUGUUGCCUUUGGCUCUCCGUCGAGGUAGGCACAAACCUCUCACAAUCACCGGGAGAUGGCCACGAACAAUCACCAACUUGUGCCAAAACUCCUCCGCUGCUCCAAGCCGUCUAGGUGGCGGCAACCACCAAGAGUAACAAGAAAACCGCAGCUAGAACGAUCCCCAAGUGCCACUAGAUGCAAUCACUCAAGCAAAUGCACUUGGAAUCACUCCCAAUCUCACAAAGAUGUUUAAUCUAUGAAGGAGAUGAGUGGGAGGUUUUUGCUUAGGCUCACAAGGAUGUCAAGUAUGUUAGAAUGCCAAGAGAGUGAGCCCCAAGCUGGCCAAACACAUAUAUAUAGCCCCUCAAACAAAUAGAGCCGUUGGCUCUUUCGCUGGGCAAAACACGGGGUCAUCGGAUGCUCUUAAAGGGGCACCGGACGCUCAACACCAACGUCCGGUGCUCCAAAGUCAGCCACAUGUCAUCUUUCGAAACGCUCGUGUCAGAGUCUAAUGGUCACCUGCAGUGCACCGGACACUGAGCAAGUUGGCACCGGACGCGUCCGGUGCACACCGGACUCAUGCGCAGAGAGUUCCACAAACCUGCGGGUCACCGGACGCUAAGUACCGGUAGUGUCCGUUGCUCACCGGACCCAUGCGCAGAGAGGGUCGCAAAACGCCCGCACAACGGUCGCUAACCACCGGACGCUCCCUGAGCGUCCGGUGCUUCUAGUCAAACACUCCGACCGAAGUCAGAUAGCACCGGACGCAUGAACAGGAGCUCCCCACCGUCCGGUGUUCACCGUCCGGUGCUUAACCCAAGCACCACAGCACACCGGACGCUCAGCCACAGCGUUCGGUGCCUCAAAGGCCAGCGUCCGGUGAGUGUUUCUCUGUGAGGAACACUCCUGCAACUUCUCCAAAUUUCCCACCGGCGUAAUAGAAAAUAUGCACUUCAUUUUCUCAAAAAGUGCCGAAUCAUCCUCUCUCUACCCUUCAAACUCCACCUCCUUCUCAAAGUGUGCCAACACCACAACGUGUGUACCAACAAGUGCACGUGUGUUAGCAUUUUCACAAACAUUUUCUUUGAAGGAGUUAAGUUAGCUCACUAGGUUCUAAAUGCAUGCACAUGAAGAAAGACACCUAGUGGCACUUGAUAACCGCUUAGCCAAAGAAUUCCCCUCUUUAUAGUACGGCUAUCUAUCCUAAAUGUGAUCACACCCUCUGUGGUGUCUUGAUCACCAAAACCAAAACCCUAAGCAAUACCUUUGCCUUGAUCUCCAUAGGGUUUUGUUUUUCUCUUUCUUCUUUUCCAAGUUGAGCACUUGAUCACUCUGUGGUCAUCACCAUCAUCACCAUGAUCAUCACUUGCUCCAACACUUGGCAUGUAUCAACCUCAUUAAGUCUACACAUACUUAGCAUAGAGGUUAGUACUAGGGUUUCAUCAAUUAUCCAAAACCAAACUAGGGCUUUCAAUCUCCCCCUUUUUGGUAAUUGAUGACAACCCUUUUUACAAAGAUUUUCAAUAAAAUUUUCUUGGAUUCAUGUUGCUUGCCCAAGCAUUUUACCAUGUGCAAAGAUUAUGGACAAGUUUCAUAAACCCAAAUUGGUACCAAUUGCUCCCCCUACAUAUGUGCUAAGAGUUUGGAUUUGAAAGCUUGCACAUAUGCUUGAAUAGGAAAUAUAGGAGUCAAUUUCUACCAAAUGAUGCUAAGGUGUAAAGAAUGGACCUUUGAAGCAUGAUACCAAUCGGAGUUGCCAAUGUAUACCAUCCUUAGCACCAUUAGUAACUAGACAUUCACAAAAACUAGAACACCUCGUGAGAUCAACAUUAUAAACAAGGUUCUAGUACCGCUUGUGAAACAACUAAGGUCUAGUUACACUACCUAUCCAUGCUAGUUCUUCAAUUCAUCAAUCAAACUUGCAACUAGCAUACACCACACAAGCAAGGCAUUGGACAGAAAGCUUCUAAAGCUAAUGCAAAUGCAAGCAACCAUAUGUGAUGCACAUACAAAUGCAACAUACAAGUUUAUGAGCUUGCUCCCCCUACUUGUGUGCUUCAAAAUUUUAGUUGAUCCCCUUCUUUUAUCAUGUUACUCCCCUAUCUUAAAUCUUUGGUAAAUCUCUCCCCCUUUGUCAUCAAUGACUACUUAAGGUGAGCUCAAAUUUUAGAUAGGUUAGUGUGAAACCAUGUGAAGUGAGAUCAUUUUACCAAAUUGGUCCAAUCUAGAUUACUUGCCGAAGAUAUUUAACUCGGUUUGAUCCAAGGACAAGCUUCUUCACACCUCCAAAUAAGGGUUAUCUUGUACCAUGUUGAGUUAAACACUUAUAGCUCAUAUUCUAGAUCAAACACUAGGAUUGCAAGCCCACAAACAUGUCAUAUGCUACCACUAGAUCAAGUCAAACAUAGAAGCAAUAGUGCUACCAUAUAAGCAUCAAAUUCAUUUGAUUUUCAUGAAAGAUCCUAAGCCAUGUAAGGAAUGACUAGAUGCACUAAGCAAGUCCUUAGCAUAGGAUGAGUGACAUGUCAAUCAAUUUUACCUUGCUUUGCUCGAAGGAAAGGCAUGUCAUGUAAUGGGGGUGCAUCAACACAUAUUUGAGAAGUCAAGUAUGUUCAAUUCAUUCCUUAGCUUGCAAAACCUCUUCUCAUCAAGUGGCUUGGUGAAUAUAUCGGCAAGUUGAUCAUCGGUGCCUAUACUCUCAAUGCAAAUGUCCCCUUUUUGUUGAUGAUCUCUUAUGAAAUGAUGGCGGACAUCUAUGUGCUUUGUUCUUGAGUGUUGAACUGGAUUGUUGGUGAGCUUCACGACACUUUCAUUGUCACAUAGCAAUGGCACUUCUUUGAAAUUGAUUCCAAAAUCUUUCAAUGUUGCCUUCAUCCAUAGAAUUUGUGCACAACAACUACCGGCCGUAAUGUAUUCCGCUUCGACGGUUGAUAGGGCAACACUAUUUUGCUUCUUGGAUGACCAUGAGACAAGUGAUCUUCCCAAUAGUUGACAAGUGCCUGAUGUGCUUCUUCUCUCAGCUUUGCAUCCCGCAUAGUCCGAGUCGGAAUAUCCAACAAGUUCAAACUUUGCACCUUUGGGAUACCACAAACCAACAUUUUGUGUAUGCUUCAAGUACCUCAAUAUUCUCUUUGUUGCUUUCAAAUGACUUUCUCUUGGUGAGGCUUGAAAUCUUGCACACAUGCAUACACUAAACAUGACAUCCGGUCUUGAUGCGGUCACAUAGAAUAGGCUUCCAAUCAUAGACUGAUAUAACUUUUGAUCCACCAUAUUUCCACUUGUAUCACUAUCUAGACUUCCAUUUGUUCCCAUUGGAGUGCUAAUUGCCUUUGCAUCAUCCAUACCAAACUUCUUGAGCAUGUCUUUUAUGUACUUGCCUUGACUCACAAAUGUGCCAUUCUUCAAUUGCUUGAUUUGAAGACCAAGGAAGUAACUAAGCUCUCCAAUCAUUGACAUCUCAAACUCAUUAGCCAUCAUAUUUCCAAACUCCUCACAAAAUUCUUGAUUGGUUGAUCCAAAUAUGAUAUCAUCAACAUAGAUUUGCAACACAAACAAGUCUUUGCCAAUCUUCUUGGUGAAGAGAGUGGUGUCAAACUUGCCCAUCUUGAAACCUUUAGAGAGUAAGAAAUCUCUCAAUCUCUCAUACCAUGCUCUAGGUGCUUGCUUCAAACCAUACAAUGCCUUUCUUAGCUUGUAAACAUGGUUGGGUUUCUUGUCAUCUUCAAAACCGGGAGGUUGCUCAACAUAUACUUCUUCAUUGAUAUAGCCAUUGAGAAAUGCACUCUUGACAUCCAUUUGGUAAAGCUUGAUGUUAUGAGCACAAGCAUAGGCCAACAAGAUCCUAAUUGCUUCUAGUGUUGCAACCAGGGCAUAUGUUUCACCAAAGUCAAGACCUUCAACUUGAGUAUAGCCUUGUGCUACCAAUCUUGCUUUGUUCCUUACAACUAUCCCAUCUUGAUCUUGCUUGUUGCGAAAGACCCAUCUAGUACCAAUAACAUUAUGAUCACUAGGCCUCUCAACUAAUUCCCAUACUUGAUUUCUCUUGAAAUUAUUAAGCUCUUCAUGCAUAGCAUUUACCCAAUCAACAUCUCUCAAUGCUUCAUCAAUCUUCUUUGGCUCAGUGUGAGAUACAAAAGAGAAAUGCUCACAAAAUGAUGCUAAUCUUGAUCUAGUUUGCACUCCUCUUUGAAUAUCACCAAUGAUAUGAUCCAAUGGAUGAUCUCUUGCAAUAUUUGUUGGUUUGAGUAUUUGCACUUGAUUGCUUGCACUUGGUUUAUCGUGAGAUGAUGUACUAGCUUGUUGAUCUUGCACUUGUGUACCACUUGUAGUAGCUUGAUUUUGAUCAUGAGAACCACUAGCUUGCACAUUAGAGGUAGGAAGCACUUGAUUUUUGUCAUCUUCAACAUCAAUCACCUCUCUUGGCCUUAGGUCACCAAUAUCCAUAUUCUUCAUUGCAUCGGCCAAUUGAGUGCCUCUCACAUCAUCUAGAUUUUCAUCUUCCUCUUGAGAGCCAUUGGUUUCAUCAAACUCAACAUCAUGCACCUCCUCAAGAGUACCACUAGCCAAAUUCCAAACUCUAUAAGCUUUGCUAGUAGUUGAGUAACCAAGCAAGAAACCUUCAUCACAUUUCUUUUCAAAUUUACUCAAUCUAGUGCCUUUCUUCAAUAUGUAGCAUUUGCAACCAAAAACCUGAAAAUAUGCAAUGUUGGGCUUUCUACCAUUCAAGAGCUCAUAUGGAGUCUUUUCCAUCAUUGGGUGACAAUAGAGUCGGUUGCUAUAGUAGCAAGCCGUGUUGAUUGCUUCGGCCCAAAAAGAAUGACUCACAUUGUACUCACUCAACAUUGAUCUUGCCAUAUCAAUCAAAGUUCUAUUCUUUCUCUCAACAAGACCAUUUGAUUGUGGAGUAUACUUGGCCGAGAAUUGAUGCCUAAUGCCAAAUUCAUCACAAAGCUCAUCAACUCUUGUGUUCUUGAAUUCACUUCCAUUGUCACUUCUCACUUUCUUGAUGGUUGUUUCAAACUCAUUGUGUACUCUCUUGACAAAUGAUUUGAAGGUUGCAAAAGCAUCACUCUUGUCACUAAGAAAUAAUACCCAUGUAUAUCUUGUGAAAUCAUCCACUAUCACAAAUCCAUAUUUGUUUCCACCAAUGCUUGUGUAUGUAGUUGGUCCAAACAAGUCCAUGUGCAACAACUCAAAUGUCUUGCAUGUACUCAUGAUGCUCUUCUUUGGAUGAGUGUUGCCAACUUGCUUUCCAGCUUGACAUGCACUACAAAGUUUGUCUUUCUCAAAUGCGACAUCUUUCAAGCCUCUAACAAGAUCAUGCUUGACUAACUUGUUCAAUUGUUUCAUUCCAACAUGAACAAGCCUUCUAUGCCAUAACCAACCCAUGCUAGAUUUAGUGAGCAAGCAUGUUGAUAAUUGAGAUUCACUAGCAUUGAAAUCAACCAAGUAUAGAUUCUCAUAUCUAAAGCCUUUGAAUAUCAAGUUUGAGCCAUCUACACUUAUGAUCUCUACAUCAUCAACUCCAAAGAUGCAUUUGAAACCAAGAUCACAAAGUUGAGCUACGGAUAACAAGUUGAAAUUCAAGCUCUCUACUAGUAGCACAUUGGAAAUGCUCAAGUCACUGGAUAUGGCAAUUUUACCAAGCCCUUUGACCUUGCCUUUGCCAUUGUCACCAAAUGUGAUACUAUCAACACCAUUGUCAUCAUUUGGAUUGAUUGAAUUGAACAUUCUUGAAUCACCGGUCAUGUGUUGUGUGCACCCACUAUCAAGCACCCAAUGCCUUCCUCCGGCUUUAUAGUUUACCUACAAAACAAAUCAAUGUUUCUUAGGUACCCAUACUUGCUUGGGUCCUUGGAGGUUAGUGACUAAGCUCUUUGGUACCCAAAUGGCCUUCUUCUUUGGACCCACAAUUGGUGUACCAAUAAACUUAGUUUGCACACCCUUCUCACCCUUGGUAAGCACAUAACAAGAAUCAAAAGGAAUGUAAGGUACAUUAGCAUUUUUCUUGUUCUUGUUCAUUUUGUUGCAAUUAAGCUCUAGGUGUCCAACUUGCUUGCAUUUGUUGCAAUACCGACCAUUGCUCUUCACAAAGCUAGGCUUGUGAGUUGCAAAGGCUUUCUUGCCUUUCUUGGGGGUAUAGCCUAAUCCCUCUUUGUUGAGAGAAAACCUUUGGCUACCCAAGCACUUUAGCAAGCGGGCCUCACCACCAUAGGCCUUGCCUAGGGCGUGAGUGAGCUCAUCCACCUCUCUCUUGAGAGUCUCGUUCUCAACCUUUAGUGAAGCAUCACAAGUGACACUAACACUAGAAGUGGAGGUAGAGUUGGUUGUAGUGGAUGAGGACCUACAAGAAGAGUUAUUGGCAACAACAAUAGGUGGGUUGGGUGAUUCUUUAAUUAAGUCACAUGUUGUGCCCACAUCACAUGAUACAACAACCUUUUCCUUGUUCUCUUCUAACAACAAGGAGUGAGCUUUCUCAAGCUUGGUGUGAGCCUUGCCAAGCUUCUCAUGGGCAUCCACUAGCCUCUCAUGAUUAGCAUUGAGCUCAUGAAAGGAUUGCUCAAGAGCUUUUAACUUCUUGACCAAUUCUUUGCACUUCUUGUUUUUAGAUUGAAUAAGUGAAUCGGCUUGUUCUAGCAUGUCCAUGAGUUGUUCAUUAGUGAAUUCAUUUUCAUCGUCACUAUCACUAUCAUGUUCAUUUUCACUUUCACUUUCACUCUCAUCAUAUUGUACCUUGUGGCCCUUGGCCAUGAAGCAUGAAGGAGUGUUGAAGAGUGAUGGCUUGUUGAUAGCAAUGCUUGCAAGUGCCUUCUUCUUGGAUGACUUGUCAUCAUCGCUUGAAUCAUCAUCCGAAGAGGCAUCACUAUCCCAUGUCACAACAUAGGAUCCACCCUUCUUCUUCUUCUUGAAGACCAUCUUCUUGUCCUUCUUUUCUUUCUUCUCCUUCUUGUUCUUCUUCUCAUGCUCAUCAUGAUCACUAUUGUAUGGACAAUCCGCCACAAUAUAAUCGGGGCUCUUGCACUUGUAGCAUAGCCUCACAUAUUCCUUGUUCUUGGAGUUGUCCCUUCUCUUUCUUGUAUGGUAGCCCUUCUUCUUCAUCAUUUUGCCAAAUUUGCGGACAAAGAGUGCUAGUGCUUCAUCAUCACUAUCGUCAUUGGAGCACUCCUCAUCACUUGAUUCUUCCUUCUUGGCCUUGCUCUUGGAUGAAGAGCUAGCUUUGAAUGCUAUGCUCUUCUUCUUCUUAUCAUCAUCAUCCUUCUUCAUGACCUCAUCAUCAUCAUUGUCAUUGUAUUGAUCUUCGGUCAUGGCAUCUCCAAGUACCUCAUUAGGAGAUACACCCGUUAAUCCACCUCUAAAGAUGAUUGUUCUCAAUGUCUUGAACCUCUUGGGCAAGCACAUCAAGAACUUGUGAAUGAAGUCCUCAUCCUUCACUUCUCACCAAGGCCCUUGAGAUCAUUGAUGAUGACUUGGAGCCUAUAGAACAUCUCUGGGAUUGACUCAUCAUCCUUCAUCUUUUAGUUGGAUAGCUUGUCCUUGAGCAUAUACAACUUUGCACUUUUUACCAUUAUAGUGCCCUCAUAUGUUUCUUCUAGUCUUGUCCACACUUCACUUGCCUUCUCAAUAUCUUUGACUUGUUCAAAUACCUUUGAAUCAAUGCCAUUGUAUAUUGUAUUGAGAGCCAUAGCAUUGCAUUGCUUGUUUGCUCUCUCAUUGUCGGUGGGGUUAGCGGGGUCAAGGAUCACAAAAUCAUUCUCCGUGACUUCCCACACUCUAUCAUUGAUUGAUCCAAGGUACAUCUCCAUUUUUCUUUUCCAAUAGUCAAAGGAACUUGUGCCAUCAAAGAACGGUGGUUUGCCCCCAACAUGGUUGAACACUAUUUGAGCCAUAAUUUGAGAACCGAGGUUGUUAAGCAUUCACAAAACGGUGACCACGGCUCUGAUACCACUUGAAAGGUCCUAAUAUGGCUAGAGGGGGUGAAUAGCCUAUUUAAAAGUUCUACAAAAACACUAGACCAAGAGGUUAGUAAAUAACAAAGCGAAGCUUUUUGCUCUAGCUCUAAUGGGGUGUUUGCAAGCCACCUACCCAACAAUUCUAGUUGCUAUGAUCACUAUGCACACAAGAACUAAGUCUCUACUUACACUAGAGAGCUACCUAAAGUUUCUAUACAAGAAGUAAGCUACUCUAGUUUGCAAGAAAGUAAGAGAGCAAGUUUGAUCUUUAUUAUACCACCAUGUAGAGGGGAUGAACCAAUCACAAUAUUAUGAAGUCCAAUCACCGAGAGAAAUCCAAUCAACAAUCACAAUGGAGACACAAGAUUUUUCUCCCGAGGUUCACGUGCUUGCCGGCACGCUACGUCCCCGUUGCGUCGACCAACACUUGGUGGUUCGGUGGCUAAGAGGUGUAGCACGAACCGUCCUCACUAGGACACCACAAGAACCUACCCACAAGUGAGGUAGCUCAAUGACACGAGCAAUCCACUAAUGUUGUCUUCGGCUCUCCGUCGAGGUAGGCACAAACCUCUCACAAUCGCCGGGAGAUGGCCACGAACAAUCACCAACUCGUGCCAAAACUCCUCCGCUGCUCCAAGCCAUCUAGGUGGCGGCAACCACCAAGAGUAACAAGAAAACCGUAGCUAGAACGAUCCCCAAGUGCCACUAGAUGCAAUCACUCAAGCAAAUGCACUUGGAAUCACUCCCAAUCUCACAAAGAUGUUUAAUCUAUGAAGGAGAUGAGUGGGAGGUGUUUGCUUAGGCUCACAAGGAUGUCAAGUAUGUUAGAAUGCCAAGAGAGUGAGCCCCAAGCCGGCCAAACACAUAUAUAUAGCCCCUCAAACAAAUAGAGCCGUUGGCUCUUUCACUGGGCAAAACACGGGGUCACCGGACGCUCUUAAAGGGGCACCAGACGCUCCACACCAGCGUCCGGUGCUCCAAAGUCAGCCACGUGUCAUCUUUCGAAACGCUCGUGUCAGAGUCUAACGGUCUCCUGCAGUGCACCAGACACUGAGCAAGUUGGCACUGGACGCGUCCGGUGCACACCGGACUCAUGCGCAGAGAGUUCCGCAAACCUGCGGGUCACCGGAUGCUAAGCACCGGUAGCGUCCGGUGCUCACCGGACCCAUGCGCAGAGAGGGUCGCAAAACGCCCGCACACCGGUCGCUAACCACCGGACGCUCCCCGAGCGUCCGGUGCUUCUAGUCAAACACUCCGACCGAAGUCAGAUAGCACCGGACUCAUGAACAGGAGCUCCCCAGCGUCCGGUGUUCACCGUCCGGUGCUUAACCCUAGCACCACAGCACACCGGACGCUCAGCCACAGCGUCCGGUGCCUCAAAGGCCAGCGUUCGGUGAGUGUUUCUCUGCGAGGAACACUCCCGUGACUUCUCCAAAUUUCCCACCGGCGCAAUAUAAAAUAUGCACUUCAUUUUCUCGAAAAGCGCCGAAUCAUCCUCUCUCUACCCUUCAAACUCCACCUCCUUCUCAAAGUGUGCCAACACCACAACGUGUGUACCAACAAGUGCACGUGUGUUAGCAUUUUCACAAAUAUUUUCUUUGAAGGAGUUAAGUUAGCUCACUAGGUUCUAAAUGCAUGCACAUGAACAAAGACACCUAGUGGCACUUGAUAACCGCUUAGCCAAAGAAUUCUCCUCUUUAUAGUAUGGCUGUCUAUCCUAAAUGUGAUCACACCCUCUAUGGUGUCUUGAUCACCAAAACCAAAACCCUAAGCAAUACCUUUGCCUUGAUCUCCAUAGGGUUUUGUUUUUCUCUUUCUUCUUUUCCAAGUUGAGCACUUGAUCACUCUGUGGUCAUCACCAUCAUCACCAUGAUCAUCACUUGCUCCAACACUUGGCAUGUAUCAACCUCAUUAAGUCUACACAUACUUAGCAUAGAGGUUAGUACUAGGGUUUCAUCAAUUAUCCAAAACCAAACUAGGGAUUUCACCCUGGAGGAGACACCCCUUGAAUCCUUAUUCAUUAUUCAUAGACAGAGAAACAAGCUAGGGUUUGGAGAUGAGAGCUCUCCUCUCAUCUCUAAACUAGAGUAGAUCUAGAUAGUAGCAAGAUGGAGAGCGAGGGAGGAUUGGAGGAGAGGCCGGCCUGUCGGUUCUUCCUCCGGUUGUACUUCGCCAUGAUCAAGCUCUAAUCAAGCUUGCUCAUGGGAUGACUCUGGUAAUCUGCUUCUUAUUUCAUUAUGCAAUUAUUAUCCAUGUAUGUUCUGGUUCACAACUCUUUUGAGUACUUUAAUCUAUAGGACGCUAUAGGUGAGAGUUGUAGUGUACGUGUAAGCGUGGUGCUUAGGCCUAGAUUACUUGUGGAUAUCCCCUGUUAGCUGGAUCGUGUGGUAGGCCGCGUAGAUUUAUCUGUGUGCGUAUAAAUACCAUAGUACACUCUAGUGCCAUGUACUAUCUGUGUGCUACACCCAGCAUGGCAUUAUAGUGUAUCAUGGUAUUUAUACGCACACAGUUAAAUCCGCAAGCGCACGGAUACCGUUGUAGCUUUUACCCGGUUAAAGGUUUUAUCGUAUCCACAGGGAAAUGGGAGAACCAACUACGCUCUAACUUAACCAAGAUAGAUAGAUAGGUGUAAAUAGGAAAGAUGGUAGAAUUGAAUAAGAACAAUAUUAAAGGUAAGAUAACAAUGGGUGAUAAUAUGGGAAUAGAGAGUAGAGCAAUCUAGUCUAUGGGCGAUGGUAGGAGAAUAGAGAGGAUAACUAUGGUUUCUCUACUUCAAAGGGGUAUGUCUAUGUCUGGGACGAACCACGUGAUAAGAUUACACCACAAAGGAUGCUUAUCCAUAGGUCGAUAAACCCUACCAGUCCUUCUAACGGGAAGUGGACUACAGUAGACCAACAUAGGUGUCACCUACGCGGCCUACCACAUGAUCCGGCUAGACAGGGGAUAUCCACAAGUAAUCUAGGUCUAAGCACCACGCUUACACCUGUACUACAACUCUCACCUAUAGCGUCCUAUAGAUUAAAGUACUCAAAAGAGUUGUGAACCAGAACAUACAUGGAUAGUAAUUGCAUAAUGAGAUAAGAAGUAGAUUACCAGAGUCAUCCCAUGAGCAAGCUUGAUAAGAGCUUGAUCAUGGCGAAGUAUAAUCGGGGAAAGAACCGACAGGCCGGCCUCUCCUCCAAUCCUCCCUCGCUCUCCAUCUCGCUAUUAUCAAGAUCUACUCUAGUUUAGAGAAGAGAGGAGAGCUCUCAUCUCCAAACCCUAGCUUUUGCUCUGUCUAUGAAUAAUGAAUAGGGAUGAAGGGGGUGUCUCCUCCAGGGGCUAGGGGUCCUGCUUAUAUAGCCCUUCCAAAUGACUGUGGGCCGUCGGAUUAAACCGACCUUAAUCGCACGGUUUUCCUUGAUCCUCAAAGGCGGUGGAGCAUAAUCCUCGAGGCGGAGCCUGAUUGGUCCAGAUGAUAGGGCGGGAGCCCAAGGGGGGAGGGCGGGCGCCCUGUCCCCGAGCCCACUCGGCUUCCUGUUCGUUCCCGUGGCUUCUGGAGUCUUCUAGAUGAUAGAAAAUUGGCGCACACAUUAAUAUCUCUAUGUAAACCCGACAUGUGGGCCUUUCCUCCAUAUUUCCUGAUAACCCCCUGUAGAAAUAGACAAACACCAAAACUUGUGGAAUUCUAUUAGAUAAACCGUAAGUCUAGGUGUCAGUUGCAUUUGGAUCCUUUUCUUUAUUUAUUUGAUGAUUAUAUUUGGUACUUAAGGACCGUCAACAAACCCCCUGUUGCACGAGCUGAGUUGCGUCAAAUGGUAGACUCACUCUUGCAUGCCAUGGAGAGGAUGCUUGAUGCACGUAUACCUGCAGAUGGGCAGAGGGCUCCUCAGCAUCAAUAUGAUGAAUCUGGUGCUGAAAAUUCUGAUGCAGGACAUGACCAUUUCUGAAAUGGUCAUGUUGGUGGCAGGUAGGCUGGUCAUCAUGGCCAAGAUGGAGGAUGAGCUCAUGACGUGGUCGUGGCCAUCGUGUUCAUUUUGAUGAUGAAGAAUUUGAAAAAUUUGAUCACAAAGAGGGUCUGAUGAGAAUCUCUUUGCAAAUGAUGGGCUGCAUAGGCGGUGGCAUGAUCAUCGGCGGCAUGUUGAUCAUUGGGAUAGAGAGCAUCAUCAUGGUCAUUGUAAUAGGGAAGAUCCAGACAUCAUUGCUCGUGUCAAGUUGAGUAUCCUAAAAUUCACUAGAAGAGAGGAUGCAGACGCAUAUCUUGAGUGGGUUGAGCAGUGUGAUCAAAUUUUCAGAGUGCAUAAUCUCUCUGAACAGAGGCAUGUUAAUCUUGCUUUAGUGGAAUUCUUUGGUUAUGCUCUGACUUGGUGGAAUCAGAUAGAGCAUAAUCAACUUGUGUUGGGCCGUGCAUAUAUCAACACAUGGGAAGAGAUGAAGCAAGUAAUGAGAAAGCGAUUUGUACCAUCAAACUAUCAGGGUGACCUUCGCAAUAGGUUGCAAAUGUUGAAGCAAGGAAAAAGAUCAGUUGAUGAGUAUUAUGAGGAGAUGGAGUUGUUGUUAGUGCGGGCUGGAAUUAGAGAGGAUCCAGAGUAAAAAAAUGGCAAGAUUUUUGGAUGGUCUCAAUGAAGAAAUUGCUGGUUUUGUUGAGAUGUUUCCAUACCAUACUUUGCAAGACCUUGUUGAUCAAGCUAUGCAUACUGAAAGAAAAAUUCAGCAAGAGACACGUGAAAAAUCUUAUGCAAGUUAUUCUAUUGCUGCCCCAUAGCGCAAGCAGCAGUCCAGCACUUCUUUCGGUGGGGGAUGGUCCCAAGGUACUGCAGCUAGGCCCUCUUCAUCUAAUGCUCCUUCAAAGAUGGCGGUAUCUACAACAUCAUCUCCUAGAAAUCAGCAGUGUCCUGCUUGUUGACGGUCCUCAAGUAUCAAAUUUAACUAUCAAAUAAACAAAGAAAAGGAUCCAAAUGAAAUCAACAUCGAGACUUAGGGUUUUAUCUGACAGAAUUCCACGAGUUUUGGUGUUUGUCUAUUUCUGCAGGGGGUUAUCAGGAAAUAAGGAAGAAAGGCCCACACGUCGGGAUUACAUAGAGAUAUCAACGUGCCGCGCAAUUAUCUUACAUCUAGAAGACUCCAGAAGCCACGGGAAGGAAGCAGAGACCGAACGGAGUCAGGGACAGGGCGCCCGCCCAAGUCCUUAGGGCGCCCGCCCACCUUUUUCGACCAAUCACGCUCAAUCUCGCGGAUUAUGCUCCACCGACGUAAAGGAUCAAGAAUAACCAUUCAAUCAAUGUCGGUUUGAUCCGACGGCCCAGGUUCACUUGAGGGGACUAUAAAACCAGACCCCCUGGCCCCUGGAGGAGGCAACCCCUUGAUCAUUAUUCAUUAUUCAUAGACAGAGCAAAAGCUAGGGUUUAGAGAUGAGAGCUCUCCUCGCUUCUCUAAACUAGAGUAGAUCUAGAUAGUAGCAAGAUGGAGAGCGAAGGAGGAUUAGAGGAGAGGUCGGCCUGUCGGUUCUUCCUCCGGUUGUACUUCGCCAUGAUCAAGCUCUAAUCAAGCUUGCUCAUGGGAUGACUCUGGUAAUCUACUUCUAAUUCAUUAUGCAAUUACUAAUCAUGUAUGUUCUGGUUCACAACUCUUUUGAGUACUUCUAAUCUAUAGGACCCUAUAGGUUAGAGUUGUAGUAUAGGUGUAAGCGUGGUGCUUAGACCUAGAUUACCUGUGGAUAUCCCCUGUCUAGCCGGAUCGUGUGGUAGGCCACGUAGGUGACAGUUACGUUGGUCCCCUGUAGUCCACCUCUCGUUAGCAGGACGGGUAGGGUUUAUCGGCCUAUGGAUAAGCAUCCUUUGUGGUGUACUCUUAUCACGUGGUUCGUCCCAGACAUAGACAUACCCCUUUGAAGUAGAGAAACCAUAGUUAUCCUCUCUAUUCUGCUACCAUCGCCCAUAUACUAGAAUUGCUCUACUCUCUAUUCCCAUAUUACCAACAACUGUUAUCUUACCUUUAAUAUUGUUCUUAUUCGAUUCUACCAUCUUUCUUAUUCACACCUAUUUACUUAUCUUGGUUAAGUUAGAGCGUAGAUCAGUUCUCCCGUUUCCCUGUGGAUACGAUAAAACCUUUAACCGGGUAAAAGCUUCAACGGUAUCCGUGCGCUUGCGGAUUAUCUGUGUGCGUAUAAAUACCAUAGUUCACUCUAGUGCCAUGCUGGGGAUGACAACCUAGUAUUCAAGUGGUGUUAGCAAGUGUCAACAAGCACUUUUGGCGCCGUUGCCGGGGAAACGGUUGCUGAGUUGACUACGAACUAGUUUAAUCAUUUUAUAAAAAAAAAUAAAAUAAAAUAUAACAAAAAAAAUAUAUAUUUUCCUUUUAUCCUUUGCCUCAUCUCUGCUAUUCUUUCUUCUUAUCUAAUCCUUGAUCUCUGGUCUAUUAUGAAUUCAAAGAUGUCUAUCUAUGAAUUUCAUAGACCUAUGGGCACACAUCUCGAACCACCAAAAUCUUUAAAGCCUAUCAUAGCAUCUAGUUUUGAGAUAGACCCCGAAUACAUAGAAUUUAUUCGAAAACAACCUUUCUCAGGAGAAGGUGAGGAAAACCCAUACACACACCUAAGAGAGUUUUAUCGAGUCUGUGACCUCCUUCGCAUAGAAGGAAUGUCCGAUGAGACCCUCAAAUGGAAGCUCUUUCCGUUCUCUUUAACGGGAAAAGCUAGACUUUGGUACAAACUCAAAGUAGGGAGUGUUCAUGGAGAUUGGAAGGAGUUAUAUAGUAGUUUUCUUUCUAAAUAUUUUCCAAUCUCCAAAGUGGUGGAACUUCGGCGUGAGAUUCUUUCUUUUAGACAACUGGAAGAAGAAUCUCUUGGCAAAUCAUGGGACCGCUUUAUUAACCUUACUCUCACUGGCCCAAAACUUUCUAUUCCAGAAGAAGUUCUUCUAAUUCACUUUUUUGAGGGCCUUAGUAGGAAAAAUAAGCAAACCCUUCAUGCGGCCUCUGGAGGAUCUUUCCACCACCUAUCCGCUAGUGAAGCUUGGAAUUUGAUUGAUUUAAUGAGCGGAAAGUCUCCUAGCUUUUAUAUCCCUGAGAAAGAGAAAGAACCAGUUCCUAGACAAGAAGAAGAAGUUUCGAUAGCCAGAUCACAACCACUUCAAUCCCAAACUUUAGCUAUCGAUCCUAAACCAUCAAUACCCCAAAAUUCUCCAAGGGAGGAAGGAAUUCCGACCUUAAAUCUUUUAGAUGCUGAUGGUUUAGACUUCUCGUUCUAUAAGAGACCUUCAAGCAGGGAUAAUUCAAAUCAUUGCAAUAAUGUUUCUCCUGGUUCCUAUCAAGAAGAAGUCGAGGAUGACAUAUCAAGUGAAGGAGAGCUAAGCCAUAUAGACAAUUCUAUCUACUCCCCUUCCAUGUUCACAAGUUCUAAAUCCAUCCUUGACCUUAGAGAUCCCUCUUAUCCCUCUUCUUUUCAGUCUCAUGAUGAUCCUAGCAAUUCACCAAGACAACCAAACCAUAGGAGUCAUGAAGACCAUAAGGAUGGCAUAUCAAGUAAUGCCAUAGAAGGAGAGCUAAGCCAUAUAGAAAAUUCUAACACCUCCCCUAUUUUGAUCACAAGUUCUAAAUGGCUAGAAUGUGUAGAAUGGAUGGAUAAGGAAGAAGCCUUAAUGGGUUCUGACUUUGGCUCAAUUUCAAAUGGUGAGUUCUUGACUCCCUUUGAAGAUGAGAUUCAUCCAACUAUAGAAGAGGACAUAGGUGAGACCAAUCCAGGAGAAACUCCGAACAUUCAGAUUAGAGACGAAGAUAACAUUAAUGAGCAUGGAAUUUAUUUCAUAGACACUUCGUUUACUCCAUGCUCAUAUGCAACAUCUUCCCAAUCUAUUGGUCUCUCCGACAUCACCACACUUGAGAUCUCCAACCCCCUCUUCCUUUCUAUUUAUAAAAACUUUAAAAGGGCGGUUGUCGAUGCAUAUGUCUAUAAUAAAUAUUGCAAAUCUCGUUGAGUUGAUCUAGAUAUAGGUUGGCGUCGGAGGGGAAACCACUUCGCCAACAUAAACUGAUGGUUUCCCAAGGACAAGCUUAGUGUCUUAAAAUAAGCAUUGAUCAGAUCGUAACAUGAGCCUUUAAUUAUUUGCAACAUUACCUUGUGUAUUGAGCAUAUAAGGAUAAUUGUAAAAAAAAAUAUUCCUUCGGGUAUUCUUGUCACUAACCUUUCUAAGAUUGGAGCAAGAAGAUCGGAUGAAUGACAAGCACAAGGUAUGUCCAACCAAUCAUCAUACAACAUUGAAUUAAAUUCAUCCAAACUUGAAUUUUGCAAAAUUCAAGCUUGGUGGAGUACUUUACAUAAAAACAUCCUUUGCCAUGUUGCUAUGCUGGUUGUCCCUACCUUUGAGACAUGCUCAAUUUGUUAAAUACUAAUCACACUACUUCAUCUCCACUUGAGUAAAUCUCUAUAAAUGCUGUCAUGCUACCUUUGUCUAUUUACUAGCAAGUGUUGGUUUGGAAGUACUCGCCAUACUUCCAUUGGCAUUUAAAUUAAGCAUGGUGCUUAGGUUAAAUAGCCUUCCUUAAUCUGAUUAGACAUGGAGUCUAGUUUGGUUAUUGAACUAAAAAAAACUGCUUGAGUAGAUAUUGGUAUAUUUUGUCGGACUAACCCCUGCAGAAAAACUUUCAAUAUCAAUUUGGGAAGUCUUGAGAUAAACUCACAUCAGAGACGAAGAGAGUGACACAGGAAGUUUAACAAUUUGCACAAGAAGGACAUAGCUCACUCAUCAUAGAGAGAUGAUCCAUGGAGGGUGCCACGAACACGAUGCACAACCGCUAAGAAAGGAAAGCUUCCACAAGGUGAUACUGUACCUUCACUUUUCAAGCAAGGUAACAUCCUAAGGUAUUUGACUAUCACUUUUAUAAGCUUCUCCUUGGUUCUGGCGUUCAUAUAAAUAAAAGAGACAAACGUGUAUGAUUUACAACUCUAGAUUAACCAACCCAACUGAUUCAACAUGUUUAGUCCUUUAAUCCUUGUUCUUAGUACUACCUCCAUGAUCUCACACUCCUAAUCAUAUGAGCUAAAAUGUUACACAUUCAAUCAUUGAGAGAUAUAAAGAAAAAGACAUAUACAUAGAUAGAUUAUCUUUCCAUAAGGUUGAGUGAUCUGAUCUGACAAAUGUUAUAAGUGCUACACUCAUGAACUUAUCAUCCAUCAACUUGUCUUGCUCACUAUGCUUAAGAUUAGAGAAGAACAAAUACACUUUUGGUUCUGUUGGUGUUUUCCACCAACAGAGCCCAUGCACUUGAUCUCUGCCUUGUCUCUAUGAGCAGGUACACUACGAGCACAAACACACUGAGCAAGAUACUGCUAACACCGCACUUCGAACUGCUGGGCAAACGAAGAACAUGGGUGACACCGUAUUAAAAGGUGCAGACGUCAAGGUCCGCACCUGAAUCAAAUGACGCACCUGAAGAAUGAACACGAUGAGAAGUCUUGACAAGAAGACUUAAAACAUUGAACCCUCGCCGAAAGGUAAGAUUGGUAGUUAUCCAUAUUUAUCCUUUCUGCAUUCCCUUUUCCAUUUAAUUAUUUACUUUCCUUAAAUAGAUUAUUAGUUAAAUCAUGCUAUCUUGAAAAGAAAAUAAAAAUGUUAAAAAAUACUAAGCCCCAUGUGAGUAUACGAGUGGCAUAAAACUCAUAAGUACCUUCACUGUGGUGGCAUAAAAAUAAAAUAAAUAUUUCUUUUCUACUUUAUAAAAUAAAAAUAUAAAAACAGGGAGUAAUAUUUAAUGAGGAAGCUCAACGUGAUGAAGGCUAGAUAUUUAUGCUAACACUUAAUUAGUUCCACAAGCUUUGUUGUCUAUUUGAGCUCCACAGAAUUUAAGAAUCAAGAAGACUAGCAGACAGAGGACAUUCUAAUCGCUGUCAGAAUACUGCUGACUUUCAAAUACACCUCUGCCACCUGCUAGCUACAUCAAGAGAAAUUACGUCAAAAUUCAGCUUGGAGGAGAGCACCCCCAUUUAUCUCGCUAAGUAUUUCUACCUAUCUUUAUACUUAUAUUAUAUUAGAAUAUUAAAAUACAUAAACUAUGAAAAACCAAAUAAAGAUUUUGUGCUUAUAUAUAUAUCUUUUGCUUAGUGUGUUUAAUAAAUAAAUAAAGUGGCUAUGUUAAUCUGAAUCUUAAUAAUAAAACUCUAGCAUGGAUAUGAUGAAUAGUUGCUCUGCCUAAUUUGCAAAUUUGAAGUUCUCUCUCAAGUUUAGACAUAACUGUUAUAAUUUAAAGCUUGCUCUAGAUCUAAACUUGUGGGAUCAAAACUUGAUCUGAAAUCUAAGUUGUUAACGGAUAUGAUAUGGGAAGGUUGAGCUGUUGUUUAUCUAUUCCUAGAGAUGCUAGAAUUCUGGAGAAUUUUAUCUUUGAAAAAUCUUUAAAAUGUUGCAUGAUGAGUUCCUGUAUGAUGAAAGUUUAAAUUCCUACCACAGCCAUAUAUACAUGCUUGCUAGACUUUGAGCCACACAUUUAUUAUUUACUGCUUAUGAGCAUUGAGUGUGGUCAAGCUGUGUAGACCCUUAGGAGCUUGUCAUGUGGUUAAAUCAAGAUUCACUUGCACGUUCACUCAUAUAUAUGCUACUUCUACUCCGGAAGUACCAUCCACAUAUAUCCAUCCAUUUCCAUCUCCAAAAUCACCUAAAAAUAUUCUAUUCCUAAUUCGGGAGAGAAUAGCCAAAAACAUCUGUGUUUUUCUCUUGUGAAAUAAAUGCUCAAGUUAUCUUGCUACUACCACUUGCUAUAUUAUCUCAAGAGAUGAGUGCUCUGAAAAAAAAGAAAAAAAAAAGAGAAAAGAAAAAAAUAAACGAGGAAAUAAAAAGCGGCAAGUGCCCGGAACCUCGAAAUAAAAGAAAAAGAAGUGAGACGAGAGGUAAAAAUGGACAAGUGUCCGACAGUAGAAUUAGGGGUACAGGAUAAAAGAAGAGAAUCUCAUUCUCCUCAUAAAGUUUCAAAAAGCAAGGAAGGUAUGUAUCCCCUCAAAAGAGCAAAAGUAGAAUUAGACUUUCACCAUUGUUAUCACCAUCAUCACCAUACACUAUUCAUUCGCCACACAUGCAUAUCUUGAUUUGGCUUAUUGAUUUGUUUCUUUGGAUCCAUGGUUUGACUAUACAAUAAAUGUCUUGUAAGUAUGUAUAUUUUAUCUCCCACCUAUGAGCUCCAGAUAUUAAAGCCUUAUUAGAGUAAGGUGAGAGAGAAGACAAUGUCACUAUCCCUUAUACCACAAAUACCACAUAUUUUGAGAGAAGGCAUAUACCAUCACUGCCUUGGUAAGGAACCAGAAAUACCACAAAAGAGAGAUAUGAGAGAGUCAUACAAAGGAAUCUCUGAGUUUUAUUUGGAAAUCUGCAAAAACUCCAGAGCUAUAGCUGAUCAAGAAUAAGCGACAUGGCACUUGACUGGACUGUUCUAUCUUUUAACCACUCAAGACACAAGUGACGGUUACAAGUCCCAUGGUGAAAGGUAAAGUAAGUAAGUUUUAAGUCUUGACAGUUUACUCUAACUCAGAGAUGAGACCUCAUUUAAAAGCAUGUGUACCGUCAAUUUUUAAAGAUAUUGCAACAACUUAUGAUCCAUAGCUGAGUCUAUCCUUCCUCAGGGACGAGCAAGAGGUAAGCUUGGGGGAGUUUGUUGACGGUCCUUAAGUAUCAAAUUUAACUAUCAAAUAAACAAAGAAAAGGAUCCAAAUGAAAUCAACAUCGAGACUUAGUGUUUUAUCUGACAGAAUUCCACGAGUUUUGGUGUUUGUCUAUUUCUGCAGGAGGUUAUCAGGAAAUAAGGAAGAAAGGCCCACACGUCCGGAUUACAUAGAGAUAUCAACGUGUCGCGCAAUUAUCUUACAUCUAGAAGACUCCAGAAGCCACGGGAAGGAAGCGGAGACCGAACGGAGUCAGGGACAGGGCGCCCGCCCAAGUCCCUAGGGCGCCCGCCCACCUUUUUCGGCCAAUCACGCUCAAUCUCGCGGAUUAUGCUCCACCGACCUAAAGGAUCAAGAAUAACCGUUCAAUCAAUGUCGGUUUGAUCCGACGGCCCAGGUUCACUUGAGGGGACUAUAAAACCAGACCCCCUGGCCCCUGGAGGAGGCAACCCCUUGAUCAUUAUUCAUUAUUCAUAGACAGAGCAAAAGCUAGGGUUUAGAGAUGAGAGCUCUCCUCUCUUCUCUAAACUAGAGUAGAUCUAGAUAGUAGCAAGAUGGAGAGCGAAGGAGGAUUAGAGGAGAGGCCGGCCUGUCGGUUCUUCCUCCGGUUGUACUUCGCCAUGAUCAAGCUCUAAUCAAGCUUGCUCAUGGGAUGACUCUGGUAAUCUACUUCUAAUUCAUUAUGCAAUUACUAAUCAUGUAUGUUCUGGUUCACAACUCUUUUGAGUACUUCUAAUCUAUAGGACCCUAUAGGUUAGAGUUGUAGUAUAGGUGUAAGCGUGGUGCUUAGACCUAGAUUACUUGUGGAUAUCCCCUGACUAGCUGGAUCGUGUGGUAGGCCGCGUAGGUGACAGUUACGUUGGUCCCCUGUAGUCCACCUCUCGUUAGCAGGACGGGUAGGGUUUAUUGACCUAUGGAUAAGCAUCCUUUGUGGUGUACUCUUAUCACGUGGUUCGUCCCAGACAUAGACAUACCCCUUUGAAGUAGAGAAACCAUAGUUAUCCUCUCUAUUCUGCUACCAUCGCCCAUAUACUAGAAUUGCUCUACUCUCUAUUCCCAUAUUACCAACAACUGUUAUCUUACCUUUAAUAUUGUUCUUAUUCGAUUCUACCAUCUUUCUUAUUCACACCUAUUUACUUAUCUUGGUUAAGUUAGAGCGUAGAUCAGUUCUCCCGUUUCCCUGUGGAUACGAUAAAACCUUUAACCGGGUAAAAGCUUCAACGGUAUCCGUGCGCUUGCGGAUUAUCUGUGUGCGUAUAAAUACCAUAGUACACUCUAGUGCCAUGCUGGGGAUGACAACCUAGUAUUCAAGUGGUGUUAGCAAGUGUCAACACUGCUACAAGUGCAACAGCCCCAACUAUUGCUUCUUCAGAUACUACUUCCUCUGCACGUAGUAGAGAAAUUAUGUGCCAUAAGUGCCAUGGUCAUGGACAUAUUGAUGCACAGUGUCCUAGUAGGAGGGCCAUGAUUGUGAAUGAGAAUGGUGAAUGGGAAUCUAAAAGUGAUCGUGAGGAAGAAGGUCCAAGAUAUGAUGAGGAUCAUGAAAACAAUGAUAAUGAGAUCCAACCCAAUGAAGGUGAAAACAACUGCUUUAUUUCUCUUUGUGUGCUUAGUGUUACUGCUGCAAAGGAAGAGAAUGGGCAGCGACACAAUCUUUUCCACACCCGAGGCAUGAUCAAAGAAAAAUUGUGUAGAAUUAUUGUUGACAAUGGCAGCUGCAACAAUAUUGCUAGCCAAGAAUUGUUUGAUAGAAUGGAGCUAAAACAAAGGCAUCAUCCUAAUCCAUAUAAGAUGCAGUGGCUCAAUGAUUGUGGUGCGCUGCGUGUGAGCCAUGUUGUGAUAGUUCCUUUCUCUAUUGGGAGGUAUAAUGAUCAUGUGGAGUGUGAUGUGGUGCCUAUGCAAGCAUGCCAACUGCUGCUAGGAAGACCAUGGUUAUAUGAUCGUGAUGUUCAGAUCUUUGGAAGAACCAACAAGCUGGCUUUCAUGUACAAAGGAGAGCGAAUUUCUUUGCUCCCUUUGACACCGGAGGAGAUUUUGAAGGAUGAUCUAAAAAAACAGCGAGAGAGCGAGAACCACUUGCGAGUGACCUACAAAAAUAGUGAGGGAGUGUUUCCGAAGCCAAAUAAAACCCCAGAGCCACAAACAACCAAGACAAAGGGAAAAGAGGGAUUAGUUAUGAUGGCUAGGAAGGGGGAUUUAAAAGAAUUGAGUGAACCCAAUGCCACAUUCUUUGUACUCCUGUACAAGGAAAAUUUUCUUUCCACUAAUGACUUAUCCUCUACUUUGCCAAGUGUUAUUUUUAAUGUGUUACAGGAAUGUGAAGAUGUCUUUCUAGAACAGGUACCACCAGGGCUGCCACCUAAGAGAGGAAUUGAACAUCAAAUUGACCUUGUUCCCGGUGCUUCACUUCCAAACCGAGCUGCAUACCGCACCAAUCCAGAGGAAACAAAAGAAAUUCAGCAACAAGUGGAAAAAUUGAUGAGAAAAAGGUAUGUGCAGGAAAGUCUUUCACCUUGUGCAGUCCUUGUUCUUUUAGUUCCUAAGAAAGAUAGUUUAUGGAGAAUGUGUGUUGAUUGUAGAGCUAUUAAUAACAUCAUAGUAAGAUAUAGGCAUCUCAUUCCUAGACUUGAUGAUAUGCUUGAUAAACAUAGUGGUGCAAUAAUUUUCACUAAAAUUGACAUGAGAAGUGGCUAUCCCUAAAUAAGAAUGAGAGAAGGAGAUGAGUGGAAAACAACUUUUAAAACCAAGUUUGGGUUCUAUGAAUGGUUGGUAAUGCGUUUUGGAUUGACUAAUGCACCAAGUACCUUUAUGAGAUUGAUGAAUCAUAUGCUUAGAUCUUUCAUUGACAAGUUUGUUGUGGUUUACUUUGGUGAUAUAUUAAUUUACAGUAAGUCUCUUGAUGAACAUGUUGGGCAUAUCCAAAGUGUGCUUGCUGUCCUACGUGAGCAAAAAUUGUAUGCUAACCUUGACAAGUGCACAUUUUACACCGAUGUUGACAGUCCUUAAGUACCAAAUAUAAUCAUCAAAUAAAUAAAGAAAAGGAUCUACAUGCAACCAACACCCAUACUUAGGGUUUUAUCUGACAGAAUUCCACGAGUUUUAGUGUUUGUCUAUUUCUGCAGGGGGUUAUCAGGAAAUAUGGAGGAAAGGCCCACAUGUCGGGUUUACAUAGAGAUAUUAACGUGCCGCGCAAUUUUCUAUCAUCUAGAAGACUCCAGAAGCCACGGGAAGGAAGCGGAGGCCGAACGGGCCCAGAGGCAGGGCGCCCGCCCUGACUUGGAGUCCAAACAGGACUCUCUUCGUGGAUUACUCUCCACCGACCUAAAGGAUCAAGGAUAACCGUCCAAUCAAUGUCGGUUUGAUCUGACGGCCCAGGUUCACUUGAGGGGACUAUAAAACCAGAUCCCCUGGCCCCUGGAGAAGACAAGUUUUUCAUAGAGUUGAGGGGAGCCCUCAAAGGAAAACCUCUUCUCUAAAUAAAAUUUACUUUAGGCUUAGCAUCCAAUGUGAGUAGAAUUAGAUCUUCUAGUUUCUACUAGAUUGAGAGAUAUAGAGUGGAGGUGUAGAUCGGAGGAAGGCCGGUCUGUCAGUGUCUACUCCGAGGUUGUACCUACGGGAUCAAUUCUUCUAACCCGAGGCUUGCUCCUAAGAUUCUUCAGUAAUUCGACUUCUAAAUCUAGUAAGUUCUUGUCUUAUUGUUCUUUGGUUUAUGAGUUUAUCCGAUUGAGUAUUAGAGUAAUCACUGCCUCAACAACUGGUGCGGGACUUCCUUCCACAAGCAAUUUGGUAUCUGAGAUGAACCUUUGAGGAGAAACCUGACGGCGUCUAGUUCUCCUCAACAAUUGCUCAGGAUCGUCAACGAAGUUUAGCGGCAAUUGAAAACCGCUCAUGCAUUGUCUAGAUUCAGGAUAAUGAGAAACAAGACAAGUGAAGGGUAAGUGUUGACGGUCCUUAAGUAACAAAUAUAAUCAACAAAUAAACAAAGAAAAGGAUCUAAAUGCAGCCGAUACUCAGACUUAGGGUUUUAUCUAACAGAAUUCCACGAGUUUUGGUGUUUGUCUAUUUCUGCAGGGGGUUAUGAGGAAUUACGAAAGAAAGGCCCACACAUCAGGUUUACAUAGAGAUAUUAACGUACUGUGCAAUUAUCCAACAUCUAGAAGAGUCCAGAAGCCACGGGAACGAACGGGAGACCGAACGGGCCCGGGGGCAGGGCGCCCGCCCUCCCCCCUUGGGCGCCCGCCCUGGUCUGAGGACCAAUCAGAACCAACAAGCAGUCCCUUCCCAGUGGUAAAAAUAUAAAUAACGAUACCUGGAAUACUUUCUGGUUAAAAUGCUACAUUGGUAUUAAUCUGUGCGCUUGCAGAUCUCAUUUAUUAUUCAUUCAGAAGAGCAAUUGCAUAUUUCAAUACCACGUCUCUCAUGUCAUGCUGGGGAUGACAACUUGGCUUAAGUGGCAUGAGAGAUAGGUUUGGCAUUUUUGGCGCCGUUAUCAGAAUUAGAAAACUAAGUCUACUUUUGGUAGUGACGUUAAGAAUGCCCAACAAGCAUUUUUGGCGCCGUUGCCGGGGAAGGUUGAUUACUAAUCAGGAAUGAAUAUGGAAUUUUGAGUCAUCAUUCGCAUCACUAAUAUGAUUGAGAUUAUCAAUUCUCUCAUACAGUUUUAGCCCAGUACUUUUCUAUUUUAUUUUAUGCAGGGUAAUGUAUGAAUAGAAGACAUCUUGUAGGAAAUUUUGUUGACAAUCCCGAAGCAUUAUUCAGAAAAACAAGAGCCAAGCUCAAGAAGAGAUCAUCAACAUUUCAGCACGAAGCUUCAUCCAAUCAAGAAGAUCACCGAAGUUUCACCCAGAACUUGUCUUCAGAGUUCGAAGUCAUGGCAAACAAAUCGAUCCGUGAGUUCUCAGCUCCCACUACGGACAACAUCCGCACUGGACCUGCUGCAGAGAUCGACGGCAACUUUGAGCUCAAGCUUGGACUUAUCAACAUGGUACAAUCCAACUAGUUCUGUGGGAAGGCACACGAAGAUGCUAGUGCUCAUCUCCAACACUUCCUCGAGAUUUGUAGCACAUUCACCAUAUUAGGAGUCCGCAGAGAUGCUAUACUACUUCGCCUCUUCCCAUUCUCACUAUUGGGGAGAGUGAAGCAGUGGUUGUACGCUACAAAGGAGAAGAAUACUACGUGGGCACUCUGCUCCACGAACUUUCUGGCUAAGUGCUUUCCCAUGGGCAAGACCAAUGCUCUCCGUGGGAAAAUUACAAGUUUUCAGCAACAACAUGAUGAAUCUGUUCCAGAAGCAUGGGAGCGCUUCCAAGACUACAUCCUAGAAUGUCCCCAUCAUGGAAUGGAGAGCUGGCUACUGAUGCAGACGUUUUAUCAUGGGCUCGGCAAUAGUGCCCGCGAGACCAUGGAUGCUGCAGCUGGAGGAGCAUUCCUAUCACUCACCACACCACAAGCCACAGCUCUUGUGGAGAAGAUGGCGUCCAACCAAGGCUGGAAUGAAGAAAGGACCCAGACACACAAAAGAGGUGGAGGUAUGCAUCAGCUCAAGGAGGUAGACAUGUUGUCUGCCAAACUAGACCUGCUCAUGAAGAAGCUCGAUGAUAGAGCUAGAGAUAAGAAAGAAGUCAUGCACAUCUACAACUCUCACAUGACUUGUGAGGAGUGUGGAGAUACUGGACACUUAGGCAAUCACUGCCCUGAGAUGCUUGAGGACGUGAACUACAUCAACAGCAACAACAACAACAAUUACUACAACCGUCCUCAAUAAAAUCAAGGUUGGAAUCAAUAGAGGCCUAACUACUCAGGUAAUUAUCAUGGUAAUAAUUCUUACAAUAAUAAUAAUAAUUUUCCACCUCUGAGAGAGUUAGUGUCUAAUCAAGGAAAGCCAAUGGAUAACCUAUCUAAGAAAUUGGCAUCCAAUGAUAAAAUGCUAGAAAAUAUAAUAAUAGAAUGGAUAAUUUCUCUAUUGCCAUCAAGAAUCAAAUUAGCUUUAAUAAAAUGAUUGAAUCUCAGUUAAAUCAAAUAGUUGCUGCUGUUCCUGCUACUAACCCCGGUAUACCAUCACAACCGAAAGGAUUAGAAUCUGCAAAUCUUGUAGACAUGUUUGAUACAGGUAACUACUGGAGUAACCCCGUUGCGGAAGUAACUACUGACCUUCUGUCGAUCAAGAGAGGCGAUCUAGGACGCCCCGUCAUCUCGAUCUCCAUCGGCAUGGUGGACUUCCCACAAGCACUCUACGACUUUGGCUCUAGUGUCAACAUUAUCCCUAGGGUACUCUAUGAAAAAUUCUUUACAUAUCCUUUAAUGGAAACAACCAUGUGUUUGCAGCUUGUAGAUCAGACGCUAAGUUUCCCAAAGGGAAUAUUGAAGAACCUCUGCGUCCGAGUUGGUACCUUGUACGCCCCAGCAGACUUCGUGGUGAUAGAGACCGGUAAUGAUGAGAGGGCACCCAUCAUCUUAGGGAGGCCAUUCCUGAACACCUCGGGAGCUGACAUUUACGCUAGUGCUGCCAAGAUCAGUUUCUACAUCAAAGGGAGGAAGGAGACAUUUUCCUUCAAGAACAAGACUACACAAAUCCCAGAGCAAUCCCGACAUGAACCAAGGAAGAGGACCAACAGGAGGAACAGGAGCAAGCAACUGUGGACCGAGUCAACUAAGAUAGUCACUACAAUUCAUGGAGGUCAAGAUCAUCAACUUAAGUCACCGUUCCUGACCAAGAAGGACGACCUAGGUAUGCCAAGCAUCCAUUAAUCCAUCAAUGGGUACAACUUCUACAAGACACUUUGCGACAUCAGGUCGGGCAUCAUCAUAAUGGCCGCAGUCACCUAUCGACUCUUGUUUGGAACCAUGCCCCUAAAACCGACAUACAUCUAGCUCCAGAUGGCAGAUCAGACAUUCCGAAAGGUUGAAGGUAUAGUAACUGAUGUCCCUGUCAAAAUAGACGAUCAUUUUGUCCAUGCAGACUUUCAGGUUAUUGAUAUGGGAGAAGAUGAGUAUGAUCCACCCAUCAUCCUUGGGAGACCGUUCCUCAGCACCGUUAAAGCAACAUCUACAUUGGAACUGGAGAAGUCCAUAUGCACUUCCCCUCUGAGAAGGUACGCCACUAUUUUACUGACCCUAACUAUAUAGUCGAAGACUCUAAGCAGGUCAGGACAAGAAGAAGACGACGCAACCGCGACCAGAGGAGGCAAAUCAUCAAGGACGGAUGGGUAGACUACGAAGGAGAAGUGGUAAGGUCUGAAGACAUACAGCUUGAAUGAAACUAUCUAGAGGAGACUCUAGCACCGAGUCAGGUGUGGAGAGAAAAGAUAGUUAUACACAAAGAAGAGGCGCCGUCGGAACCACCGACUAUGCCAUCCAACGAAUCCCAGGACGACUGAGAAAACAGAGAGUCCCGUUCGGAGGACUUAAAAACACCGAACGCCUUGCCAAGAGGUAAACUUGGUAGUUAUCCUUUUCCUUUCAAUUAUUUAAAAUUGUUUGCUUAGUUAAUCAUGUUCAUACUAUCUUAAAAAGAAAAUAAAAAUGUUAAAAAAUGGUAAGCCCCAUGUGAGUAUACGAGUGGCACAAAACCCAUAAGUAUAUUCACUGUGGUGGCAUAAAAAUAAAAUAAAUAAUUUUUUCUGCUCUAUAAAAUAAAAGAUAUAAAAAUAGAGAGUAACACUUAUUGAGGAAGCUCAACAUGAUAAAGGCUAGAUAUUUAUGCUAGCACCUAAUCAGUUUCACAAAGCUUUGUUGUCUAUUUGAGCUCCACAGAAUUCAAGAAUCAAGAAGACUAGCAGACGGAGGACAUUCUAAUCGCUGUCAGGGUACUGCCGACAUUCAAAUACAUCUCUACCACCUGCUAGCUACAUCAGAAGAAAUUACGUCAAAAUUCAGCUUGGGGGAGAGCACCCCCAUUUAUCCCGCUAAGUAUUUCUAUCUAUCUAUAUACUUAUACUAUAUUAAAAUAAAAAUAUACAUAACUAUGAAAAACCAAAUAAAGAUUUUGUGCUUACAUAUAUAUAUAUCUUUUGAUUAGUGUGCUUAAUAAAUAAAUAAAGUAGCUAUGCUAAACUGAAUCUUAAUAAAACUCUAGCAUGGAUAUGAUGAAUAGUUGCUCUGCCUAUUUUCAAAUUUGAAGUUCUCUCUCGAGUUUAGACAUAACUGUUAUAAUUUAAAGCUUUCUCUAAACCUGAACUUGUGGGAAGAGAACUUAAUCUGGAGUAUAAGUUGUUAACGGAUAUGAUAUAAGAAGGUUGAGCUAUUGUUUAUCUGUUCCUAGAGGUGCUAGAAUUCUGGAGAAUUUUAUCUUUGAAAAUCUUUAAAAUAUCACAUGAUGAGUUCCUGUAUGAUGAGAGUUUAAAUUCCUACCACAACCAUAUAUACAUGCUUGCUAAGACUUUGAGCCACACAUUUACUUUUUACUGCUUAUGAGCAUUGAGUGUGGUCAAGCUGUGUAGACCCUUUGGGGCUUGUCAUGUGGUUAAAUCAAGAUUCACUUGCACGUUCACUCACACAUGCUGCUUCUAUUUCGGUAGUACGCAUCCACAUAUAUCCACUCAUUUCUAUCUCCAGAACCACCCAAAAGUAUUCUACUCCUAAUCCGAGAGAGAAUAGCCAAAAACAUUCUCCUAUUUCUGUUUUUCCCUGUGAAAUAAAUGCUCAAGUUAUCUUGGUUACUACCACUUGCUAUAUUAUUUCGGGAGAUGAGUGCUCUAAAAAAAGAGAGAGAAAAAAAAGAAAGGAUACGAGGAAAUAAAAAGGGGCAAGUGCCCGGAACCUCGAAAGAAAAGAAAAAGUGAGACGAGAGGUAAAAAUAGACAAGUGUCCAACAGUACAAUUAGGGGUACAAGAUACCCACCUGAGAGGAAAAAAGAAAAUAUAGAGCAUCUUAUUCCCCUCAAAAGGUUUCAAAAGAGCAAGAAAGGUAUGUAUCCCCUCAAAAGAGCAAAAGUAGAAUUAGACUUUCACCAUUGCUUUCACCAUUGUUAUCACCAUCAUCACCAUACACCAUUCAUUCGCCACACAUGCACAUCUUGAUUUGACUUAUUGACUUGUUUCUCUGGAUCCAUGGUUUGACUACGCAAUAAAUGUCUUGUAAGUAUGUAUACUUCAUCUCCCACCUAUGAGCUCCAGAUAUCAAAAAAGCCUUAUUAGAGUAGGAUGAGAGAGAAGGCAAUAUCACUAUUCCUUAUACCACAAAUACUACAUACUUUGAGAGAAGGCAUAUACCAUCACUGCUUUGGUGAGGAUCCAGAAAUACCACAAAAGAGAGAUCUGAGAGAGUCAUACAAGGAAUCUCUAAGUUUUAUUUGAAAAUCUGCAAAAACUCCAGAGCUAUAGCUAAUCAAGAAUAAGAGACAUGGCACUUGACUAGACCGUUCUAUCUUUUAACUGCUUAAGACAGAAGUGACGGUUACAAGUUCCAUGGUGAAAGGUAAAAUGAGUA